UGGGGAAUCUUGCACAAUGGGCGAAAGCCUGAUGCAGCGACGCCGCGUGCGGGAUGAAGGCCUUCGGGUUGUAAACCGCUUUCAGCAGGGACGAGGCCGCAAGGUGACGGUACCUGCAGAAGAAGCCCGGGCUAACUACGUGCCAGCAGCCGCGGUAAUACGUAGGGGGCAAGCGUUAUCCGGAUUCAUUGGGCGUAAAGCGCGCGUAGGCGGUUUGUUAGGUCAGGAGUUAAAUCUGGGGGCUCAACCCCUAUCCGCUCCUGAUACCGGCAGGCUUGAGUCUGGUAGGGGAAGGCGGAAUUCCAAGUGUAGCGGUGAAAUGCGCAGAUAUUUGGAAGAACACCGGUGGCGAAGGCGGCCUUCUGGGCCACGACUGACGCUGAGGCGCGAAAGCUAGGGGAGCGAACAGG
RNAcentral lists this ribosomal RNA (410 nucleotides) under Verrucomicrobiota bacterium. RNAcentral's name for it is "Verrucomicrobia bacterium partial 16S ribosomal RNA". It matches the Rfam family "Bacterial small subunit ribosomal RNA", at positions 355 to 776 of the family's 1533-position model. The record is from RNAcentral. Lineage: Bacteria; Pseudomonadati; Verrucomicrobiota.